Molecule: unclassified non-coding RNA, 322 nt
Filed under: soil metagenome
Description: partial contains 5.8S ribosomal RNA, internal transcribed spacer 2, and large subunit ribosomal RNA
Rfam family: 5.8S ribosomal RNA (bases 1-119)
Source: RNAcentral
AUGAAGAACGCAGCGAAAUGCGAUAAGUAAUGCGAAUUGCAGAAUUCAGUGAGUCAUCGAAUCUUUGAACGCACAUUGCGCCCUGUGGUAUUCCGCAGGGCAUGCCUGUUCGAGCGUCAUUUCAACCCUCAAGCUCUGCUUGGUGUUGGGCCCUGCCCGCUGCGGCCGGCCCUAAAGACAGUGGCGGUGCCGCCUGGCCCUGAGCGUAGUACAUCUCUCGCUCCAGUGCCCGGUGGUAGCCUGCCAGAACCCCAACUCUCGUGGUUGACCUCGGAUCAGGUAGGGAUACCCGCUGAACUUAAGCAUAUCAAUAAGCGGAGGA